GACGUAGGGCGCGAGCGUUGUCCGGAUUUAUUGGGCGUAAAGAGCUCGUAGGCGGCUUGUCGCGUCGUCCGUGAAAACCCACGGCUUAACUGUGGGCUUGCGGUCGAUACGGGCAGGCUGGAGUUCGGUAGGGGAGACUGGAAUUCCUGGUGUAGCGGUGAAAUGCGCAGAUAUCAGGAGGAACACCGGUGGCGAAGGCGGGACUCUGGGCCGAUACUGACGCUGAGGAGCGAAAGCGUGGGGAGCGAACAGG
This 253-nucleotide ribosomal RNA is filed under the name uncultured bacterium. Its description in RNAcentral is "partial 16S ribosomal RNA". It matches the Rfam family "Bacterial small subunit ribosomal RNA", at positions 524 to 776 of the family's 1533-position model. The record is from RNAcentral.